This 484-nucleotide ribosomal RNA is filed under the name uncultured bacterium. Its description in RNAcentral is "bacterial SSU rRNA". It matches the Rfam family "Bacterial small subunit ribosomal RNA", at positions 28 to 507 of the family's 1533-position model. The record is from RNAcentral.
GACGAACGCUGGCGGCGUGGAUUAGGCAUGCAAGUCGAACGGUAUCAUCCUUUCGGGGGUGAGAGAGUGGCGAACUGGUGAGUAACACGUAGGUUAUCUACCCUCAAGACGGGGACAACCCAGGGAAACUUGGGCUAAUACCGGAUGUGAGCAACUUUUAGUUGUUUGAAAGGUGGCGUAAGCUGUCGCUUGGGGAUGAGCCUGCGUCCUAUUAGUUAGUUGGUGAGGUAACGGCUCACCUAGGCAAUGAUAGGUAGGCGGCCUUAACGGGUGGUCGCCCACACUGGGAUUGAGAUACGGCCCAGACUCCUACGGGAGGCAGCAGUCGAGAAUAGUCUACAAUGGUCGGAAGACUGAUAGUGCGACGCCGCGUGGACGAUGAAGGCCGGAAGGUUGUAAAGUCCUUUUCUCCGUGAAGAAUAAGGGUGCGAGGAAAUGCGCGCCUGAUGACGUUAUCGGAGGAAUAAGCCCCGGUAAUUACGUG